RNAcentral lists this ribosomal RNA (253 nucleotides) under uncultured bacterium. Its description in RNAcentral is "partial 16S ribosomal RNA". It matches the Rfam family "Bacterial small subunit ribosomal RNA", at positions 524 to 776 of the family's 1533-position model. The record is from RNAcentral.
UACAGAGACUGCAAGCGUUAUUCGGAUUCACUGGGCGUAAAGGGUGCGCAGGCGGCCGAGUGUGUGAGGCGUGAAAGCCCGGGGCUUAACCCCGGAAUUGCACCUCAAACUACACGGCUAGAGCAUUGGAGAGGGUAGCAGAAUUCAUGGUGUAGCAGUGAAAUGCGUAGAUAUCAUGAGGAAUACCAGAGGCGAAGGCGGCUACCUGGACAAUUGCUGACGCUCGGGCACGAAAGCGUGGGGAGCAAAAGGG